RNAcentral lists this long non-coding RNA (1198 nucleotides) under Coturnix japonica (Japanese quail). RNAcentral's name for it is "lncRNA (ENSCJPG00005001408.1)". The record is from RNAcentral. Lineage: Eukaryota; Metazoa; Chordata; Aves; Galliformes; Phasianidae.
AUUCCCCUAUAUAUCCCCUAUACACCCCAUUACCCACGUCAUGCAGCUGACGGCAGCCUGUCCGUGGAACCCCCAUAACCCCAUUACCCCCCAUAACCCAUACACCCCAUUUAACCCCAUUUACACCCCAUAACCCCAUAGACCCCAUGACAACCCAAUAACCCCAUAUACCCCAUUUACACCCCAUAAAACCCCAUAUAAUCCCCCUAUCAUCCCCAUCAUAUCCCCAUAUAUCCCCUAUUAUCCCCUAUCCCCAUUACCACGUAUGCGCUGACGGCAGCCUGUUCCGUGGACCCCCAUAACCCCAUACACCCCAUAUAUCCCCUAUAAUCCCCCAUAACCCCAUAUACCCCAUAACCCCAUAUAUCCCUAUAUCCCCAUAUAUCCCCCAUAUAUCCCCAUAUAUCCCCUGUAUACACCCCAUUACCACUAUGCGGCUGGACGGGCAGCCUGUCCUGGACCCCAUAACCCCACGUACCCCCCAUAAAACCCCAUACACCCCAUAACCCCAUACACCCCAUAAACCCCAUAUACCCAUACACCCCAGAACCCCCAUAUACCCCAUACACCCAUAACCCCAUAUAAUCCCCUAUAUCCCCAUAUAUUUCCCCAUAUAUCCCUAGAUUCCCCUGAUCCCCCAUUGACCACGUAUCGCUACUGGCAGCCUGUCCGUGGACCCAACCAUAACCCCAUACACCCAUAACCCCAUACUACCCCAUAACCGCCAUUACACCCCAUAACCCCAUCACCCCAUAACCCCAUACACCCCAUAAACCCCAUAUAUCCCCUGAUAUAUCCCAAUAGUCCCCCAUUACCACGUAUGCGCUGACGGCAGCCUGUCCGUGGACCCUGUCAUCCCGGUGGAUCUGAACUUCUGGAUUCCCGUUUCAUCCCCUCGAGGGCAGCGAAUCCCUGCAGCGGAACCUUGGGACGUGCCCGUCAACAAACUGCAGGAACUUGCAGCGGUCAGCCUGGUCAAAGGAGCGCAGGCGCGCCAGGAAACAUGGAAUCUAUAUAGGGUUAAAUAAUAGGAAUAGGGUAAAGGGGCGAUAUAGGAUAUAGAUAAUAGGGGGGGAUAUAGGAUUAAAGGGGGGAUAUAGGAUAAAGGGGGAUAUAGGGAUAAAAGGGGCAUCAUAGGAUAAGGGGGAUAUGGGAUAAAGGGAUGAGGACUAUAGGAUAAAGGAUUAUAGGGGGGGAC